UUCCGGUUGAUCCUGCCGGACCUGACUGCUAUCGGAUUGAUACUAAGCCAUGCGAGUCAUUGUAGCAAUACAAGGCAUACGGCUCAGUAACGCGUAGUCAACCUAACCUAUGGACGGGAAUAACCUCGGGAAACUGAGAAUAAUGCCCGAUAGAACAUUAUACCUGGAAUGGUUUAUGUUCCAAAUGAUUCGUCGCCAUAGGAUGGGACUGCGGCCUAUCAGCUUGUUGGUGAGGUAAUGGCCCACCAAGGCGAUUACAGGUACGGGCUCUGAGAGGAGAAGCCCGGAGAUGGGUACUGAGACAAGGACCCAGGCCCUAUGGGGCGCAGCAGGCGAGAAAACUUUGCAAUGUGCGAAAGCACGACAAGGUUAAUCCGAGUGAUUUCUGCUAAAGAAAUCUUUUGCAAGUCAUAAAACCACUAGUGAAUAAGGGGUGGGCAAGUUCUGGUGUCAGCCGCCGCGGUAAAACCAGCACCUCAAGUGGUCAGGAGGAUUAUUGGGCCUAAAGCAUCCGUAGCCGGCUCUGUAAGUUUUCGGUUAAAUCCAUGUGCUCAACGCAUGGGCUGCCGAAAAUACUGCAUAGCUAGGGAGUGGGAGAGGUAGACGGUACUCGGUAGGAAGGGGUAAAAUCCUUUGAUCUAUCGAUGACCACCUGUGGCGAAGGCGGUCUACCAGAACACGUUCGACGGUGAGGGAUGAAAGCUGGGGGCACGAACCGGAUUAGAUACCCGGGUAGUCCUAGGUGUAAACGCUGUGGACUUGAUGUUGGGGGCGCUCCGAGCGCACUCAGUGUCGAAGCGAAGGUGAUAAGUCCACUGCCUGGGGAGUACGGUCGCAAGGCUGAAACUUAAAGGAAUUGGCGGGGGAGCACCACAAGGGGUGAAGCCUGCGGUUCAAUUGGAUUCAACGCCGG
RNAcentral lists this ribosomal RNA (913 nucleotides) under uncultured marine archaeon. Its description in RNAcentral is "bacterial SSU rRNA". It matches the Rfam family "Archaeal small subunit ribosomal RNA", at positions 1 to 921 of the family's 1478-position model. The record is from RNAcentral.